CAGGGGAAGAAAGGGGAAGAAUGUCUUCACCAAGGGUAUCAUUUUCAUUACAGCAAUGAUGAGCAUUGAAAAAAAAAUUACAAGAGUUGUCUUGCAAGUGUGAAGCGGUAGCAGGAUGCAAAAGUUGCAUCUGGUAAUGGUUUGUAUAUGAUACAAACUAAUUUAUCAUUGAAUGCUUCAGCUUUAGAUUUUUGGGUAUGUGAUACCUCAUGUAGGUCUCACUUAUGCAAAGCAUUGCUGGACCCAGAAAGCUGAAGAGAGGUGACUUCAUACCUUUUGUCACUGAUGGAUAGUC
RNAcentral lists this long non-coding RNA (295 nucleotides) under Elaeis guineensis (African oil palm). RNAcentral describes it as "long non-coding RNA (EGUI_LNC073123)". Lineage: Eukaryota; Viridiplantae; Streptophyta; Magnoliopsida; Arecales; Arecaceae. The record is from RNAcentral.